This 599-nucleotide ribosomal RNA is filed under the name Jeotgalicoccus aerolatus. Its description in RNAcentral is "bacterial SSU rRNA". It matches the Rfam family "Bacterial small subunit ribosomal RNA", at positions 100 to 734 of the family's 1533-position model. The record is from RNAcentral. Lineage: Bacteria; Bacillati; Bacillota; Bacilli; Caryophanales; Staphylococcaceae.
GGACGGGUGAGUAACACGUGGGAACGUGCCUUUAGGUUCGGAAUAACUCAGGGAAACUUGUGCUAAUACCGAAUGUGCCCUUCGGGGGAAAGAUUUAUCGCCUUUAGAGCGGCCCGCGUCUGAUUAGCUAGUUGGUGAGGUAAAGGCUCACCAAGGCGACGAUCAGUAGCUGGUCUGAGAGGAUGAUCAGCCACAUUGGGACUGAGACACGGCCCAAACUCCUACGGGAGGCAGCAGUGGGGAAUCUUGCGCAAUGGGCGAAAGCCUGACGCAGCCAUGCCGCGUGAAUGAUGAAGGUCUUAGGAUUGUAAAAUUCUUUCACCGGGGACGAUAAUGACGGUACCCGGAGAAGAAGCCCCGGCUAACUUCGUGCCAGCAGCCGCGGUAAUACGAAGGGGGCUAGCGUUGCUCGGAAUUACUGGGCGUAAAGGGAGCGUAGGCGGACAUUUAAGUCAGGGGUGAAAUCCCGGGGCUCAACCUCGGAAUUGCCUUUGAUACUGGGUGUCUUGAGUGUGAGAGAGGUAUGUGGAACUCCGAGUGUAGAGGUGAAAUUCGUAGAUAUUCGGAAGAACACCAGUGGCGAAGGCGACAUACUGGCU